RNAcentral lists this ribosomal RNA (497 nucleotides) under uncultured bacterium. RNAcentral describes it as "partial 16S ribosomal RNA". It matches the Rfam family "Bacterial small subunit ribosomal RNA", at positions 28 to 507 of the family's 1533-position model. The record is from RNAcentral.
GAUGAACGCUGGCGGCGUGCCUAAUACAUGCAAGUCGAGCGAACAGAUAAGGAGCUUGCUCCUUUGACGUUAGCGGCGGACGGGUGAGUAAAACGUGGGUAACCUACCUAUAAGACUGGGAUAACUUCGGGAAACCGGAGCUAAUACCGGAUAAUAUUUCGAACCGCAUGGUUCGAUAGUGAAAGAUGGUUUUGCUAUCACUUAUAGAUGGACCCGCGCCGUUUUAGCUAGUUGGUAAGGUAACGGCUUACCAAGGCGGCGAUACGUAGCCGACCUGCGAGGGUGAUCGGCCACACUGGAACUGAGACACGGUCCAGACUCCUACGGGAGGCAGCAGUAGGGAAUCUUCCGCAAUGGGCGAAAGCCUGACGGAGCAGCGCCGCGUGAGUGAUGAAGGUCUUCGGAUCGUAAAACUCUGUUAUUAGGGAAGAACAUACGUGGAAGUAACUGUGCACGUCGUGACGGUACCUAAUCAGAAAGCCACGGCUAACUACGUG